Molecule: long non-coding RNA, 1017 nt
Organism: Erinaceus europaeus (western European hedgehog)
Lineage: Eukaryota; Metazoa; Chordata; Mammalia; Eulipotyphla; Erinaceidae
Exons: 3
Source: RefSeq, a predicted model, not a curated record
GCAUGCAGCUGAAGACUGGCAGCUAAGUCAGGAACCAGGAAAUCUGCAGGAAGUGAAGGUGCCAAGAAGCUACACGGGAGAUCAGAAAGAGCAAGAGAGAAGAGAACCACCACAGCACUGCUCCACCAUCCGAGGAGCUUUCUCAGACGCCACGAGGCUUCCAUGCAGUACCAGGGUUUGAACCUGGGUCCUCAGAACUAGUAAGGCAUGUGCUCUACCAGGUACUGAUGGAACUGGAGUUCAGAGCCCUCUGGCCAUCUUCCCUGCUGGGAGUUUGAACCAAGAUUCAGAGAAUUCUUUAGUCUCUUUCUAGCACCAUAAAAGUUUUUCUCGAAGUGAGAAACCAUUUAAAAUUACCUUUGUAGCAUGAGUCAACAUGAUUGAUAAAUGCAGUCAAAAUGAAUUUCAGCUGCUUAAUUGAAGAGACUAUGGAAACAAAUACAAAGAAAUUGUUCCCCAGUUGAAGUCAACCGGAGUCAUCAGUGAUCUAGUCUUUUCACUAGUUCUAAUUCUACCUCUUUUACUUCAUAUAUUUACCUCCAAUAAUGACACUACAAAAGGCCUCAAGGCAUUUGAAGUUGUCUCAAGUUGUCGAGGUAAUCAGAAACACUGCACAAACAGACUUCAUUACCACUUCUUUGACAAAGGUUUAUCCAGUUGAAAAUUAUUUCAUGUUCAGCAUAAAAAAUAACGGUUUAAGUACAUCAUAGGGAAUCUGUAGGAUAAAAUACUACCAUUGAAAUACUCCAUUAAUGAAAUUGCUACCAAAUAACGAAAAAGUACAAUACAUCUAAAUGAGCUAAUAUAUGUAAUUAUGGGUGGGGAGAUAGAAAAAGGGUUAUGAAAAAAAAGCUUUCAAUGACCGAGGUUCAAUGUCUCAGGUUCAAUCCCCAACACCAACAAAAGUUAGAACUGAGUGUAUAAUGGGUAAAAUAAUAGAAAAAAAAAAUCAAAAGAUAAAAUUCUGUGUAGAAGUUCAAAUGUAUAGCACGUGUCCAUGUUUUUCAAGAAUGGAGU